Molecule: ribosomal RNA, 240 nt
Filed under: Triticum aestivum (bread wheat)
Lineage: Eukaryota; Viridiplantae; Streptophyta; Magnoliopsida; Poales; Poaceae
Description: partial small subunit ribosomal RNA
Source: RNAcentral
AUGGAUCCUUCCCCGGUCGGCCAGGAAGCACGUCGGUUGUGCGCAGUGACCGGCGGCCGGGGAUUCAUGGCGAGGCACCUGGUCGCGGCGCUGCUCCGCUCCGGAGAUUGGCACGUGCGGAUCACUGACCUCGGCCCCGAUGUCGCCAUGGAGCCCGACGAGGAUGAUGGGCUCCUUGGCGCCGCUCUGCGUGACGGCCGCGCCACCUACAUCUCUGUCGACGUCUGCCAAUUGGAGUAG